RNAcentral lists this ribosomal RNA (202 nucleotides) under uncultured bacterium. RNAcentral describes it as "partial 16S ribosomal RNA". It matches the Rfam family "Bacterial small subunit ribosomal RNA", at positions 1300 to 1500 of the family's 1533-position model. The record is from RNAcentral.
GCAGGCUGCAACCCGCCUGCGUGAAGUUGGAAUCGCUAGUAAUCGCGGAUCAGCAUGCCGCGGUGAAUACGUUCCCGGGCCUUGUACACACCGCCCGUCACACCAUGAGAGUCGGGAACACCCGAAGUCCGUAGCCUAACCUUAACCGGGGGCGCGGCCGAAGGUGGGUUCGAUAAUUGGGGUGAAGUCGUAACAAGGUAUC